AUGCAACAAGCUUACUAGGAAAUGGAGGGGGUUUGGGUCUCCAAAAAAAUAAAAAUCUAAGUAGGCGGUCUUUUUUUUUCCCCUCCAUGUAUUAUUCUGAUAAAGGAUAAAAAUACACUUAACCAAAUAGUCACUUAAAUAUUUAGAUUAGGGCAUAAGAGGAGAGUGAAGUCAUUCUAUUAGUGUAGCGGAUAAAAUGUAUUUGAUCUGUGCUAGAUAGAAAUGAUUUGUGCAUGGAAGAAGUGUUGCUGGUGCAGUGCAGAUUUUUUUUAAAGUGCAAUACAUAUUCUCUAUUUCUGCUUCAGUUUACUUAAUUAACAAGAAAUUGCUGAUUCCUUAUAAAAUUGUGCUCCAAAGCAUUUGUUUCAAAUUCAUAGGAACUAGCUUCUGUAUGGGCUUACAACUUGCAAUAGUUGUGUUUGUACCAUGUGUAGCAAAUGAAAGCAACUUGGAUGUAGACGGAUUGUACUACAUUACUUCCAUGACAACAGGAAGCUACAGCUUCAAUUAGUGGUCAAGCCACUAUAGGAGCCAUAGUACAUGAUUGUAAGAAAACAAGAUACUCCGCUGCUUUGCCUUGAGGAGCUUAAAGCUGUAAAAUGAACCGACAAAGUGUGGGCAAGAUUACAGGGUGCUGUAAGCAGCAUGUUGAUUAAAAGUAGGGAUAUGUGAAUGAGAAUAAAAGUGUUUUCUGUUUUUGCUUUAUCAUUUCAGGGGCAGUCAUUCUGUUGACACUCAGGAGUUGCAGAAGAGGACAAGAGGAGGAUGAGAGUGGGGAUGCCUCAAAAAGCAAAUACUGAAAGAGGUGGAGUUGCAUGAACCAGUUUGUCAUUGGAUCUCCAUUGUACUCUCCCAACCUUCUAUAUAAUCCAUGGAUAUGACCUAAAGAAAGCAGACCUUUGGAAUGCUUCCAUACAGGUUACACAAGGUUUUGCAACUUUAUUCACUCCAUGCCUAUGCAGAUCUACUAAAGUUGCCUUUUGAUCCAAGAUGUCAAUAUCUGUGUCCACUGGGUGUUAAAGAUAAACAAAAUUUGCAGAUUGAACCCUGAUACAGGAAGAAAUACUUAGCCCAAGACUUUCCUGUUGCUGCCCAAAAAUUAGUAGAUAAAAGCACCUCCUAAUGUUUUUGUGGUUUCUCCCCUUCAUGUUCCUAUUCCUUUAAUUCUGGGACUAGUAUGAAUUUGGUAGUGUGUUGAUCAGUGCAUUGGCAGUGCUCACGUGUUCUUGCUUGCAGUGGUACCUGCAGUCUCAGGCACAUACCUAAAUGGCAAUGGCAGGAGGAACCCUCACAGCUGUGAUUUCCUAUGCCUCUGAGCCAUCAGUGGCCUCUUAAUAGAAAGGCACAUUUUUGUGGGGUCAAAAACCUGGGCUUAGGACUCUUGUUGCAUAUGAUCAGAUUUAAUAUGUUCUCCCAUUAGACUACAGGCUGCUGUAGAGCUGUGUGGGUGGAGCAGGGCCGUGGGAUCCUGAGAUCAUACCCAGGAUGGUGCAGCAGUAGCUGCAAUUUCCAGUAUGGAAGGCCAAAGAAAAGCUAAGCAGAAGAAAAUUGAAAAAACUUCUCAUAGCUGAUUGAGGCAAAGGGUGCAAACCACAGGAGCCUUCUGUCAUUUCCCUGGGUGGCCCAUUUCUAAUGGGGGGAGGGACGUGGGACAACAAAAGUUAACAGAUAUGGUUUUUGAGUAAGUUUUCUUUUUUUCCCACUUGGCUGGCAAAAACUUCUGAAUAAGGAAAUGUAACUUCCAAAGUAAGUAUUCUACUGAUUGAUUAUUUAUUUUACUUAUUAAUACAGAAUCAGAGCAGAAUGGUCAUGGGUUUUAGAGAUGACCUGUCCAAACAAAGUCUUAGACAUGUGAAUAAGCACAUGCAGAGAAGCUGGAUGAAAGAAAUAUCUUUGAGCAAGUCUGAGGCAGCAAAAAUCAAAGCUAGACUAGUGAAAUAAUAGUUUACAACCUCAGGGAGCUGAUCUUACACUGAGAGAGGAUCGC
RNAcentral lists this long non-coding RNA (1987 nucleotides) under Anas platyrhynchos platyrhynchos (common mallard). RNAcentral's name for it is "lncRNA (ENSAPLG00000024714.1)". The record is from RNAcentral. Lineage: Eukaryota; Metazoa; Chordata; Aves; Anseriformes; Anatidae.